GAUGAACGCUGGCGGCGUGCCUAAUACAUGCAAGUCGAGCGAACAGAUAAGGAGCUUGCUCCUUUGACGUUAGCGGCGGACGGGUGAGUAACACGUGGGUAACCUACCUAUAAGACUGGAAUAACUUCGGGAAACCGGGGCUAAUGCCGGAUAACAUUUAGAACCGCAUGGUUCUAAAGUGAAAGAUGGUUUUGCUAUCACUUAUAGAUGGACCCGCGCCGUAUUAGCUAGUUGGUAAGGUAACGGCUUACCAAGGCAACGAUACGUAGCCGACCUGAGAGGGUGAUCGGCCACACUGGAACUGAGACACGGUCCAGACUCCUACGGGAGGCAGCAGUAGGGAAUCUUCCGCAAUGGGCGAAAGCCUGACGGAGCAACGCCGCGUGAGUGAUGAAGGUCUUCGGAUCGUAAAACUCUGUUAUUAGGGAAGAACAAAUGUGUAAGUAACUGUGCACGUCUUGACGGUACCUAAUCAGAAAGCCACGGCUAACUACGUG
This 497-nucleotide ribosomal RNA is filed under the name uncultured bacterium. Its description in RNAcentral is "partial 16S ribosomal RNA". It matches the Rfam family "Bacterial small subunit ribosomal RNA", at positions 28 to 507 of the family's 1533-position model. The record is from RNAcentral.